AAAAUAAUAAAAAUAAUCUAACUUAGAAAAACCAACUUUGCAGAUGAUGUGGCCACUCCGAAUCCCUCAUAGCUCCAAGCCCAUUAUGGUUGGGGAUUUCCUGCAGAGAUGAAAAUAAAGGGUGAGUUUGGUAAACUCCGUGUGUAACAUAACCCAACCAUAGCCCAAAAUAGAUCAAACCUUAGAGUCAGACUUAUCUGGGC
Molecule: long non-coding RNA, 203 nt
Filed under: Gossypium barbadense (sea-island cotton)
Lineage: Eukaryota; Viridiplantae; Streptophyta; Magnoliopsida; Malvales; Malvaceae
Description: long non-coding RNA (GBAR_LNC009085)
Source: RNAcentral